UACGGAGGAUGCAAGCGUUAUCCGGAAUGAUUGGGCGUAAAGCGUCCGCAGGUGGCUGUGUAAGUCUGCUGUUAAAGAGUCUAGCUCAACUAGAUAUAAGCAGUGGAAACUACACGGCUAGAGUACGUUCGGGGCAGAGGGAAUUCCUGGUGUAGCGGUGAAAUGCGUAGAGAUCAGGAAGAACACCAGUGGCGAAGGCGCUCUGCUAGGCCGUAACUGACACUGAGGGACGAAAGCUAGGGGAGCGAAUGGG
This 253-nucleotide ribosomal RNA is filed under the name uncultured bacterium. Its description in RNAcentral is "partial 16S ribosomal RNA". It matches the Rfam family "Bacterial small subunit ribosomal RNA", at positions 524 to 776 of the family's 1533-position model. The record is from RNAcentral.